This 721-nucleotide long non-coding RNA is filed under the name Heterocephalus glaber (naked mole-rat). Its description in RNAcentral is "lncRNA (ENSHGLG00000038555.1)". The record is from RNAcentral. Lineage: Eukaryota; Metazoa; Chordata; Mammalia; Rodentia; Bathyergidae.
GCAGGGAGCCCGGAGCCCCGCAGGAGGGCAGUGAGAACCGGCUCCGAGAUCCGGUCCCCCGCCCCCCGGCGGCCCGCACCCCGCUCACAGGGCCUGGGCGGAGCCUCUGCUGGGGCGGGAGCGGCUCGGCUGCCUCGAUUCCCUCAGUGUCCGUCCGUCUGUCCGUCUGUCCGGCGGGGAGGAACGUGCUGAGCGCUCGGCGACCCGCAGAGCCACCACCCGGGUCUCUGCUCCCUGUUGGGCUGUGAGUUCCCUAAAGGAAAUCACCUUUGGGUUCACAGAACCUGGCCCAGGCCUGGACCAUCAUUUCAGAUGGGAAGGAAUUCCACACAUCUGUAGAAGGAACUGUUCCUGCUCCUCACUCCGGCCCAGGGCCUGUGGACGCAACCCUGCGCGGUGUGCACAGUGGAGCGCCUCCAGGACCCUGCUCAUCUAUGUCCGGCAGGCGGUGAGGGAUGCGGCAGCUGCAAUGCAGGCAGGCAGGAGGGACCCUCGAGGAAAGUGAGCCCAGUUGGCGAGCCGGUGUUGGGCGCAGUGAGCGUCUCUGCGUGGUCAGCGGGACGUGAGCCGCAGAGCGGGCGGGAUCUGGCCAGGAGGCAGAGCCUCAGCCAGCCGGGAGCAGCCGCUGGCGGGCACCUCCUGCAUCCUGGCGCAGGACUCGGCUCCCUGGGAUUCUGGGCGCGGGCAGCUCUGCUCACCUCACCUGGCAGGCUCUGUCCAG